This 75-nucleotide ribosomal RNA is filed under the name Blautia sp. BIOML-A1. Its description in RNAcentral is "partial 16S ribosomal RNA". The stretch from base 1 to 67 matches the Rfam family "Bacterial small subunit ribosomal RNA", at positions 1467 to 1533 of the family's 1533-position model. Lineage: Bacteria; Bacillati; Bacillota; Clostridia; Lachnospirales; Lachnospiraceae. The record is from RNAcentral.
ACCGAUGACUGGGGUGAAGUCGUAACAAGGUAGCCGUAUCGGAAGGUGCGGCUGGAUCACCUCCUUUCUAAGGAA